This 254-nucleotide ribosomal RNA is filed under the name uncultured bacterium. RNAcentral describes it as "partial 16S ribosomal RNA". It matches the Rfam family "Bacterial small subunit ribosomal RNA", at positions 524 to 776 of the family's 1533-position model. The record is from RNAcentral.
UACGGGGGGAGCAAGCGUUGUUCGGAUUUACUGGGCGUAAAGGGCGCGUAGGCGGUCAGCACAAGUCAGUUGUGAAAUCUCCGGGCUUAACUCGGAAAGGUCAACUGAUACUGUGCGACUAGAGUGCAGAAGGGGCAACUGGAAUUCUCGGUGUAGCGGUGAAAUUCGUAGAUAUCAGGAGGAACACCGGUGGCGAAGGCGGCUUCCUGGACACUUACUGACGCUGAGACGCGAAAGCGUGGGGAGCAAACAGG